CCAACGUGAAUACCCUGGGAAGUCACUCUCCCCGGGCUCUGUCCUGGUGGCGUAGGGGAGCAUAGGGUUCUGCCCAGUGAUGUACAGUCCCAUUCCAUGACGUUGGAGAGGAAGCCGGGCCUCAUGCCUGCACCUACAUAUUCCUACAGCUUCUCAGUCCUAUGGACAAUGCCUGAGGAGACAAACCAUGUAGGAAACAUAU
RNAcentral lists this small nucleolar RNA (202 nucleotides) under Dasypus novemcinctus (nine-banded armadillo). Its description in RNAcentral is "Small nucleolar RNA SNORA73 family (ENSDNOG00000033829.1)". It matches the Rfam family "Small nucleolar RNA SNORA73 family". Rfam says of the family: U17 (SNORA73A and SNORA73B) also known as E1 belongs to the H/ACA class of small nucleolar RNAs (snoRNAs). Lineage: Eukaryota; Metazoa; Chordata; Mammalia; Cingulata; Dasypodidae. The record is from RNAcentral.